CAAUUUUAAUUAUUUAUUUAAGAAAAACACACUUCAUUAGAGUAAGGCAUAUUUGGUAUGUUCACCAACACAGCCUCUGGAUUAUUUUAAUGCAGGACUACUGUCAGGAAGCUAAUAUCCAUACAGAUUUCACACUGUCAUUCACUGUAUAUUCAGCUAAUUUGAAUAGUUGUAUGGAUUAAGAGGGUAUUUGGACAGACAUGCAUGUUAGGUUUAUUGCUAAAUGGCCUACAGGAGUGAAAGGGAGUGUGAAUGAUUAUCUAUGUAUAUAGUCUGUGCUCUGUGAUUGGCUGGUGACCAGCCAGUCGUGUACCCUGCCUCUCCACUAAGUCUGCUGAGACAUCCCCCCCACAGCCGUUGUGAGGCUAAAUGAUACUGAAGAAUGAACAACUGAGUGUUUAUAGUGGACCGGCCAAGUAUCCAAAAAGCAUCCAGAUUUGAUUUUAUGGGCAUUUGAUGUUAAUGCCAGGUAUCUUUGAUUUUUGAAAAUUUACAAAUGUUAUGACAAACAAUUCAAGGAUGGAUGCUAUGCUUAACUUUCAGUUUUUAAGUAACUCAGAUGGUCAUCAAUUGGAGCCUUAAACUUGGUCAUGAAACAUUUCAGGAAAAGAAGAGACAACACAAAAGGAGUUACACAUGGCAACAAUAACCAUGUUUAAUGCAGCCAGGGAACAGGAACAAUUUGGCCACGGACAUAGAGAAAAAAGACAUGAGGAACACAAGAACAGGAGGAGAAAGGUUCCCAGAGAUGUCUGCUACUGUUGUGGUCAACUUGGACACUGGAUACGCAAAUGUCCCAUGACAACAUCAUUAACUCCAGUAAACACAUCAGACUGAGGAUGGUUGGGGAUGGUCGGAGGGAGAUGGAUUCCUGCUGACAAGCUGAACCAACCUGUGAAAUCAAAGGAAGGAAAUGCAAGAGCUGAUGCCGCAGCAGAAAGAGCAACCCUCCAACCCUCCUGCUCUGAUACUUUGCUUGUCUCAAUUUCUGCUUCUAUUCCCAACUCUCUCACAGCAAUACAGGCAUUUGCCACACCACAACAAAAGACAUUGUGGAGAGGCUGUGGUGCCACAUAGAGAGAAGAAGAAGACAACACAUAGAGAGAAGAAGACAACAAACCCUGUCUGCCCAAACAUUUCUUCCUUCACUUUGCUAAAUUGACACAUGGGUGUCAAAAGGGGGGAAGAUGGAUGCCAUAAUCCAACACUGGUUCACCGAGGGUUUUUCCAUCUAUGCGCAGAAAUUGUGUCAAUCAUGUAUGGUUUGUGCAACGCGUAAUGCAGGUA
Molecule: long non-coding RNA, 1287 nt
Organism: Sphaeramia orbicularis (orbiculate cardinalfish)
Lineage: Eukaryota; Metazoa; Chordata; Actinopteri; Kurtiformes; Apogonidae
Exons: 2
Source: RefSeq, a predicted model, not a curated record